GAUGAACGCUGGCGGCGUGCCUAAUACAUGCAAGUCGAGCGAACAAACGAGGAGCUUGCUCCUCUGACGUUAGCGGCGGACGGGUGAGUAACACGUGGAUAACCUACCUAUAAGACUGGGAUAACUUCGGGAAACCGGAGCUAAUACCGGAUAAUAUAUUGAACCGCAUGGUUCAAUAGUGAAAGACGGUUUUGCUGUCACUUAUAGAUGGAUCCGCGCCGCAUUAGCUAGUUGGUAAGGUAACGGCUUACCAAGGCAACGAUGCGUAGCCGACCUGAGAGGGUGAUCGGCCACACUGGAACUGAGACACGGUCCAGACUCCUACGGGAGGCAGCAGUAGGGAAUCUUCCGCAAAGGGCGAAAGCCUGACGGAGCAACGCCGCGUGAGUGAUGAAGGUCUUCGGAUCGUAAAACUCUGUUAUUAGGGAAGAACAAAUGUGUAAGUAACUAUGCACGUCUUGACGGUACCUAAUCAGAAAGCCACGGCUAACUACGUG
Molecule: ribosomal RNA, 497 nt
Filed under: uncultured bacterium
Lineage: Bacteria
Description: partial 16S ribosomal RNA
Rfam family: Bacterial small subunit ribosomal RNA
Source: RNAcentral